CAUGCAAGUCGAGCGGUAACAGAAAGUAGCUUGCUACUUUGCUGACGAGCGGCGGACGGGUGAGUAAUGCUUGGGAACAUGCCUUGAGGUGGGGGACAACAGUUGGAAACGACUGCUAAUACCGCAUAAUGUCUACGGACCAAAGGGGGCUUCGGCUCUCGCCUUUAGAUUGGCCCAAGUGGGAUUAGCUAGUUGGUGAGGUAAUGGCUCACCAAGGCAACGAUCCCUAGCUGGUUUGAGAGGAUGAUCAGCCACACUGGAACUGAGACACGGUCCAGACUCCUACGGGAGGCAGCAGUGGGGAAUAUUGCACAAUGGGCGAAAGCCUGAUGCAGCCAUGCCGCGUGUGUGAAGAAGGCCUUCGGGUUGUAAAGCACUUUCAGUCAGGAGGAAAGGGUGUGAGUUAAUACCUCAUAUCUGUGACGUUACUGACAGAAGAAGCACCGGCUAACUCCGUGCCAGCAGCCGCGGUAAUACGGAGGGUGCGAGCGUUAAUCGGAAUUACUGGGCGUAAAGCGUACGCAGGCGGUUUGUUAAGCGAGAUGUGAAAGCCCCGGGCUCAACCUGGGAACUGCAUUUCGAACUGGCAAACUAGAGUGUGAUAGAGGGUGGUAGAAUUUCAGGUGUAGCGGUGAAAUGCGUAGAGAUCUGAAGGAAUACCGAUGGCGAAGGCAGCCACCUGGGUCAACACUGACGCUCAUGUACGAAAGCGUGGGGAGCAAACGGGAUUAGAUACCCCGGUAGUCCACGCCGUAAACGAUGUCUACUAGAAGCUCGGAACCUCGGUUCUGUUUUUCAAAGCUAACGCAUUAAGUAGACCGCC
This 823-nucleotide ribosomal RNA is filed under the name Pseudoalteromonadaceae bacterium ACEMC 13-4. RNAcentral describes it as "bacterial SSU rRNA". It matches the Rfam family "Bacterial small subunit ribosomal RNA", at positions 54 to 873 of the family's 1533-position model. Lineage: Bacteria; Pseudomonadati; Pseudomonadota; Gammaproteobacteria; Alteromonadales; Pseudoalteromonadaceae. The record is from RNAcentral.